Piliocolobus tephrosceles (Ugandan red Colobus) is the source of this 397-nucleotide long non-coding RNA. RefSeq lists it as uncharacterized. The record is from RefSeq and is a predicted model, not a curated record. The transcript has 4 exons. NCBI's taxonomy places the organism in Eukaryota, Metazoa, Chordata, Mammalia, Primates, Cercopithecidae.
AGCCAAGGCUCUUUCAAUUCUUUCUGGCCCUCCCCUUUGCCUGCCUUCGACGCCAAGGAGAAUGGUCCAGCAGCAUCUCAGCCCAUGAUUGUCAAGCGCCCACUUCCGUACAGUCCAUACACCCCAAGGUUCCUUGUGGGAUUCCUCAGCAACACCAAUGCACUGACCGUCACUCUGUGUUCUCCUAGAUUCUGAUGAAGAUCUGCAGGCGUCUGCACAUGGCGGUGUGGAGGAUAUGAAAUCAGAACGUAGCAAUUCGAAAGCCCAGUCUCAACUCUAUUCUGAUGAAGAUCUGCAGGCGUCUGCACAUGGCGGUGUGGAGGAGAAUAUGGGAUCAGAACUUGAUUUAUCUAGAGCUGAGUAUGAAGACCGUACGUAUUCAUAAAAAAAAAAAAAA